Molecule: ribosomal RNA, 501 nt
Filed under: uncultured Glomeromycotina
Lineage: Eukaryota; Fungi; Glomeromycota
Description: partial small subunit ribosomal RNA
Rfam family: Eukaryotic small subunit ribosomal RNA
Source: RNAcentral
CCAAUAGCGUAUAUUAAAGUUGUUGCAGUUAAAAAGCUCGUAGUUGAAUUUCGGGAUCUAUAUAUCGGUCGUGCAAUUGGUACGUACGGGUGUCAUUGGUUUCUCCUUUCUGACGAACCAUGAUGUCAUUAAUUUGGUGUUAUGGGAAGUUAGGACGGUUACUUUGACAAAAUUAGAGUGUUUAAAUCAGGCUUUUAGCUUGAAUACAUUAGCAUGGAAUACUGCACUAGGACGUUCGAACCUAUUUUGUUGGUUUCUAGGAUCAACGUAAUGAUUAAUAGGGAUAGUUGGGGGCAUUAGUAUUCAAUUGUCAGAGGUGAAAUUCUUGGAUUUAUUGAAGACUAACUACUGCGAAAGCAUUUGCCAAGGAUGUUUUCAUUAAUCAAGAACGAAAGUUAGGGGAUCGAAGACGAUCAGAUACCGUCGUAGUCUUAACCAUAAACUAUGCCGACUAGGGAUCGGAUGAUGUUAAUUUUUUAAUGACUCAUUCGGCGCCUUACG